RNAcentral lists this non-coding RNA (28 nucleotides) under Mus musculus (house mouse). The record is from RNAcentral. Lineage: Eukaryota; Metazoa; Chordata; Mammalia; Rodentia; Muridae.
UAGGUGAUUAAGGCAACUCAAAACAAUC